Molecule: ribosomal RNA, 328 nt
Filed under: uncultured eukaryote
Lineage: Eukaryota
Description: partial 18S ribosomal RNA
Rfam family: Eukaryotic small subunit ribosomal RNA
Source: RNAcentral
CCCUUAGAUGUCCGGGGCUGCACGCGCGCUACACUGAAGGAAUCAGCGUGCUAAAACCAUUGUCGAAAGGCAUUGGUAAACCCAUUAAAAUCCUACGUGAUUGGGAUCGGGAAUUGCAAUUAUUUCCCUUGAACGAGGAAUUCCCAGUAAGUGUGGGUCAUAAGCUCGCGUUGAUUACGUCCCUGCCCUUUGUACACACCGCCCGUCGCGGCCCGGGACUGAGCCGUUUCGAGAAAAGCGGGGACUGCUGCUGUCGGGGCUUUCGGGCCUUGGCUUCGGUGGAAACCGCUUUAAUCGCAGUGGCUUGAACCGGGCAAAAGUCGUANCA